CUCAAAUGUAAGGUUUUUUAUGACCUUUUUUUUACAAUUAAGCUUCUUUGUUAGUGAUUUUUUUGUUUAUUUAAUAUUCUUUUUUAUCAAUAAUUAAGAAAUUCAUCAAGACUCAAGCUUUAUUGAUUGUUUAAAGCUUCUUCAAACUUGUUUGUUUCUUCAUUCAAAAGGCAUGUGUUAAUUUUGAUUUUCAUAUAUAAAUAUAUAUAAGUUGUGGAUUGUUGAUAUAUUU
Molecule: long non-coding RNA, 232 nt
Filed under: Lathyrus oleraceus (garden pea)
Lineage: Eukaryota; Viridiplantae; Streptophyta; Magnoliopsida; Fabales; Fabaceae
Description: Pisum sativum (pea) long non-coding RNA (PSAT_LNC034590)
Source: RNAcentral